AUUUCCCCGGGUACCUCUCUUCCCCUCGGUGCCCGCCCCUCCCCGCCCCUCCAGACCCGCCCCCUCCCCGCCCUCCAGUCGAGCCGUGCCGGUGGUGGUCGUUCGGAAGCCGAACAGCAAACAGCUUGGCCGAGAGGCAGGGCCAUCCAGCGGCCGUGCCCUUUGACUUGACCUCUGUUCCUGCCAGCGAGCGGACGGAGUAGCCAAGAAGAAAGCUGGGAAAAGCUUAGUCGGCUGACCCGAGAGGAAAACCGGUGACUGUCACGAAUGAAAAUGCAGUGUAAUCGAAGACAGAGACAGUCACCACAACUCUGCGUCCGCGAGCCUGCUGCUGUGGAGAUAAUACUAUCUAUCGCACAGCCAUGCUUUUGUUCGCCCCUGAAGGGGCUUCCCGCUCCGGUGGCUCUCAACUCCUCCGAAGACAGCAUGCACGUCUAAAAGUUUUAGUUAAUUAUGCAUUCAUAAAAUUUAAAAUCUGCAACACUCCCUCGCUCCCCCACACGUUUCCUUUUAAAAAAUAAAAAAUUUUAAGAGCUUAAA
This is a long non-coding RNA of Peromyscus maniculatus bairdii (prairie deer mouse), 540 nucleotides long. RefSeq lists it as uncharacterized. The record is from RefSeq and is a predicted model, not a curated record. Lineage: Eukaryota; Metazoa; Chordata; Mammalia; Rodentia; Cricetidae.